RNAcentral lists this transfer RNA (72 nucleotides) under bacterium. Its description in RNAcentral is "tRNA-Thr". The record is from RNAcentral.
CGGGCGAAUAGUUGGUAGAGCACGUCCUUGGUAAGGACGAGGUCACCGGUUCAAACCCGGUCAUGGGCUCGG